CAGCGGAGGGAUCAUUAAAGAGUUCUAUAACUCCCAAACCCAUGUGAACAUACCUAACGUUGCCUCGGCAGGUCGCACCUACCUUGUAGCACCCUACCCUGUAGGGCCUACCCGGGAGGUGCGGGUAAGCCUGCCGGCGGCCCACCAAACUCUGUUUGAUAUUGAAUUCUGAACCUAUAACUAAAUAAGUUAAAACUUUCAACAACGGAUCUCUUGGUUCUGGCAUCGAUGAAGAACGCAGCGAAAUGCGAUAAGUAAUGUGAAUUGCAGAAUUCAGUGAAUCAUCGAAUCUUUGAACGCAUAUUGCGCCCAUUAGUAUUCUAGUGGGCAGGACCGUUCGAGCGUCAUUUCAACCCUUAAGCCUUCGUUGCUUAGUGUUGGGAGCCUACGGCAACGUAGCUCCUCAAAGUUAGUGGCGGAGUUGGUUCACACUCUAGACGUAGUAAUUUUUUAUCUCGCCUAUUAGUUGGACUAAUCCCCUGCCGUAAAACCCCCAAUUUAUCAAGGUUGACCUCGAAUCGGUUCAGACAAACUCGCUAAAUUGAAGCAUCUUAGUCAGCGAAGGAAAAGAAACCAACAGGGAUUGCCCUAGUAACGG
RNAcentral lists this ribosomal RNA (598 nucleotides) under fungal endophyte. RNAcentral's name for it is "eukaryotic LSU rRNA". The stretch from base 194 to 347 matches the Rfam family "5.8S ribosomal RNA". Lineage: Eukaryota; Fungi. The record is from RNAcentral.